CAUUUGGAGAGACAUAGACAA
RNAcentral lists this microRNA (21 nucleotides) under Medicago truncatula (barrel medic). RNAcentral's name for it is "mtr-miR5561-5p". Lineage: Eukaryota; Viridiplantae; Streptophyta; Magnoliopsida; Fabales; Fabaceae. The record is from miRBase by way of RNAcentral.